ACAGACACACUCAGAGCUUUCUCUUUUCUUCACCGCCGGCAAACCUAAAACCGACCCCAACCUUAAAUCGGAAAAAACCUAGCCGGAAAAAGAACAUCAAACAAACAUAUACCUCACGGCGCGGUUUGUCGCAAGUGGAUUUCCACCUCUGGCAGACAAGGGCAGCAGUUGGUGGUCGACACAAGCGACAGCUGCGGUGGCGUUGGCUAGUAUGGAAAACAGACCGGUUCACGGUGCCGAGCGGUGGUAUGCGAUUUAGAAUGGUAUUUGUAUUUCUUCCUAGUUCAUUAAUUACAUUCAUAUUGUUUAUUAGUUGGAAUUUUGUUACUGUAUUAUUUCCCAUGGUGGCUUGUAGUUCAAUAAACAUAUAGCUUAUAACUCGGUGUAUGCUCAGUGUUUAGCUAAAGUGAGUACAAGAGAUUUGAUUUUGACAUAAUUCAUAAUUAAAAUUUAAAUGAUAAAAGGGGUAAAUGGGUAAUUUCAUAAUAAUAGGGGAAAUAUGUAAUUGAUUUUAAAGGUUGGGUAAAUAUGUAAUAAAAGCUCUUAAUAGGGGGAUAUAUGUAAAAAACCCUUUUAUUUAAUGAGAAUCUUGUUGUUACUGAUUUCUUCUGAUGUUAAUGAUUUGUAGUUGCUUUGUGCUUCACGUGUUACGUGAAAAAUGCAAUAAUAAUUUACAUAGGAUAAAAUUCAUUUGUUUGUUCUAAUAUGCAAAAAAAAUUAGUUCAGAAGUCACUUUGAACCUCAGAUGUUUGAUGAAAUACAUUUAUGGUUUACAUUCGAUAAAUUCAUUGAUUUGUUCUAAUUGUUAAAGAUCCGAAGUUUAGUGGUGGCUUUGCGUUCCAGGUGUUUGAUGAAAUGUGACGUCUUUUUGUAGUUUUUGAGCUUCAUCGAGGAACUAAGUCGAGACAAAGCCUAUUUUGUCAACAUUAAACAUCUUUGGCCCCUCAAAUUUGGCGACAGUCAGUUUAUUUGGUUAGUGUGUGUCUCACUUGUUCAUCAGGUCGAUGGCCAUAUUCGGCUUACUGAAGGAAACAAUACAGGCCCGAUCAACUUGGAAAUCCAGGUCAACAUUAUGAUGAAUUCACCAUGCUUGAAGUUGCAGAGAAUGUGAAAGAGGUCAGUUCUGGAAGUUCUUUAACAAUUUUAUUGUUAUGUCCAAAAUGCCCUUGAAUUUGUAUGUCCAAAAUGCCCUUGAAUUUGGCGUUUAAUAUGAGUAUGAAGACCACAUAUGGUAGCUGAUAAACCCGAAAGUGAAAAUAACACAUGUGGAAAACACGCAUGAUGAUCCUCGACAAAGAAAGCCAUUGAUAACGAAGCCAAAGGAGGUGCUUGAUUCGGAACCAACAAUCAAAUUACGCUAUGGACUCCCCCCUAUGGACGAGGACUUCCGCAAGAGGCUUGGACUACCAAGGACUGCAUGAGUGUGAGCGUGUGCGUGUCCUCAAACCGCAAGAAUUUCGGAAGUAAUCGUGCUGCAAAUGAAGCUUCUGCUGGAACUGCACUCUUUCACCCGCUCUGAUUUUCAAUGAUGCCAGAUACAUUGAAAAGAAAAGGUUUGGACAGUAACUUAUAGAUGAGAUUUUCAUUUGAUAUAUGCAAUUGAAACUUUUGGGCUUAAUUUGUAACUUUUGUAUAAUUUCAGGGACUAAUGUUGAAAUUUACUGUUUUAUGGAACAUGUUAGAUGUAGUUAUGUACUAAUUUGAGAGGUUUUAAUCAUGUGUGAAUGCUUCACUU
This 1735-nucleotide long non-coding RNA is filed under the name Helianthus annuus (common sunflower). RNAcentral describes it as "hypothetical non coding rna". Lineage: Eukaryota; Viridiplantae; Streptophyta; Magnoliopsida; Asterales; Asteraceae. The record is from RNAcentral.